AUGGUUAUGCUGCUAUCUAGCAUUUCACUUUUGUUCCUUGAUUUCUUGGAUAAUGUUUUUCUCUUUCUUGAGAAUCAUCAUAUUGGAAAGGCUGCUUGUGUUAUCAAGUAUGAACUAUUUAUUAGGGUUGAUUUCUGUGCUACUAAUGCCUAUUGCCUUCUCCACCCAUCCAGCGGUGUACAGGACGCCCUCCUCGAAGCGGCCAUCCCCGACGAGCUCUCUUCGCCGGAGGAGAUGGAGCAGCAAGUCCAGCACCCGCUUGGCCCCUGUGUCCUAUCUCGCGUGGACAAGCUCACCAAUGGUUGCGUCUUCCUUCCCUCCUAG
This 324-nucleotide ribosomal RNA is filed under the name Triticum aestivum (bread wheat). Its description in RNAcentral is "partial small subunit ribosomal RNA". The record is from RNAcentral. Lineage: Eukaryota; Viridiplantae; Streptophyta; Magnoliopsida; Poales; Poaceae.